This 484-nucleotide ribosomal RNA is filed under the name uncultured bacterium. RNAcentral describes it as "bacterial SSU rRNA". It matches the Rfam family "Bacterial small subunit ribosomal RNA", at positions 23 to 507 of the family's 1533-position model. The record is from RNAcentral.
CUCAGAUUGAACGCUGGCGGAAUGCUUUACACAUGCAAGUCGAACGGUAGAGGGGGCAACCCUUGAGAGUGGCGAACGGGUGAGUAAUAUAUCGGAACGUGCCCAGUCGUGGGGGAUAACAUAGCGAAAGUUACGCUAAUACCGCAUACGUCCUACGGGAGAAAGCGGGGGAUCUUCGGACCUCGCGCCAUUAGAUGAGCCUAGGUCGGAUUAGCUAGUUGGUGAGGUAAUGGCUCACCAAGGCGACGAUCCGUAACUGGUCUGAGAGGAUGAUCAGUCACACUGGAACUGAGACACGGUCCAGACUCCUACGGGAGGCAGCAGUGGGGAAUAUUGGACAAUGGGCGAAAGCCUGAUCCAGCCAUGCCGCGUGUGUGAAGAAGGUCUUCGGAUUGUAAAGCACUUUAAGUUGGGAGGAAGGGUAGUAACCUAAUACGUUGCUACUUUGACGUUACCGACAGAAUAAGCACCGGCUAACUUCGUG